RNAcentral lists this ribosomal RNA (266 nucleotides) under uncultured bacterium. RNAcentral's name for it is "partial 16S ribosomal RNA". It matches the Rfam family "Bacterial small subunit ribosomal RNA", at positions 771 to 1036 of the family's 1533-position model. The record is from RNAcentral.
AAAGGGAUUAGAUACCCCUGUAGUCCUAGCCGUAAACGAUGGAUACUAGGCGUUGCCCGUAUCGACCCGGGCAGUGUCGUAGCCAACGCGUUAAGUAUCCCGCCUGGGGAGUACGCUCGCAAGAGUGAAACUCAAAGGAAUUGACGGGGCCCGCACAAGCGGUGGAGUAUGUGGUUUAAUUCGAUGCAACGCGAAGAACCUUACCAAGACUUGACAUGUCGCGAAUCUCCUUGAAAGGGGAGAGUGCCUUCGGGAGCGCGAACACA